UUUCCAGGGGGGGCAGUUGCACUGGAGAAUAGUUUACUCUGUGAUUGGUUAGCAGUGAGGGGAAGGUGGGUUAGUAACUGGCUGUCCAUUUUAUAGUGUGGUGUUGUUAGUGUCGUGUUCACGAAGGCCCGUACUUGGGCGCUAUCCUGAGGGAACCGAAUCCACUCGCCCCAUGACGCCGUAUUUAUAAGAGGUGCUGAUAUUUGCGUUACAUCGUCCUGGUAAGCAGACAAUAUUUUGUAGCAGGCUUACUCGUGCAACUCCUUACAAACAAAUAACCUGCAGUUCUGGAUAUCCGUCACACCCAUUUCGAAGAGACGGAACGAAAAAUUGGAAGAAACCUGAAUAUAGCUGCUAGAUAGCAACGCCACGAGCCAACGCAUAGCGUAUAUAAAGCUCAAGAACCCUUAGGUGCAUGCGUUGUGCAGUGCGCAACUUUGAUUCGUUCUUCUGGUCAGUUCACACGAAAUUAGUAGCACAACACAACAUGGUGAUAACCUUAGAUUACAGAGAACAGUGAUUUGUGGAAGAGGUUAAUCUCUGACCAAGAAUCAACGAAAACGGGGAAUUAUUUAUUCCCAACGUACAAGAUUAUUAUUUCAGUUUGUAGCCGUUCUUGUCCGUAACCGCGUGGCAAGAGACAAUUGUUAAUUUAUAAAUGGCGCCUCUUCCGGAUUAUAGGGCCACAGACACAGCCACUGAAAACGGUUUCCCUGCAGAAUACAUAGUCGCGAUAAUCGUAGGAGUGUUCGUGUUGCUCUGCGUCAUUAUUUUCGUUGUGUACGCGUCUGGGAAAUUCGGACCUUGCGCCUGUUGUGGGCCUUGGCUCUGCUGUUGCUGUUCCUGUUGCUGUGAAAGCACCCCCAAAGAAACAAUUCCCGGUCUCCCUGUAGAACGAAGAGAGAAAGACAAGUGCAGUUCGGAUACUCCAGCUUUUCCGGUUUUCGUAUGGACAGGCUGUUGCGACGGCGAUGGUGAUUGUUGUGGCGGCGACGAUGAUUGUUGUGGCGGCGACGGUGAUUGCAGUGGCGGCUGCGGUGAUUGCAGUGGCGGU
This is a non-coding RNA of Zootermopsis nevadensis, 1054 nucleotides long. The record is from RefSeq and is a predicted model, not a curated record. Lineage: Eukaryota; Metazoa; Arthropoda; Insecta; Blattodea; Termopsidae.